RNAcentral lists this ribosomal RNA (468 nucleotides) under uncultured bacterium. RNAcentral describes it as "partial 16S ribosomal RNA". It matches the Rfam family "Bacterial small subunit ribosomal RNA", at positions 28 to 507 of the family's 1533-position model. The record is from RNAcentral.
GACGAACGCUGGCGGCGUGCUUAACACAUGCAAGUCGAACGGAAAGGCCCUGCUUUUGUGGGGUGCUCGAGUGGCGAAAGGGUGAGUAUCACGUGAGUAACCUGCCCUUUACUUUGGGAUAACUUCAGGAAACUGGGGCUAAUACCGGAUAGGAGCUCCUGCUGCAUGGUGGGGGUUGGAAAGUUUCGGCGGUUGGGGAUGGACUCGCGGCUUAUCAGCUUGUUGGUGGGGUAGUGGAUUACCAAGGCUUUGACGGGUAGCCGGCCUGAGAGGGUGACCGGCCACAUUGGGACUGAGAUACGGCCCAGACUCCUACGGGAGGCAGCAGUGAGGAAUAUUGCACAAUGGGCGGAAGCCUGAUGCAGCAACGCCGCGUGCGGGAUGACGGCCUUCGGGUUGUAAACCGGUUUCGACUGUGACGAAGAGUGAGUGACGGUAAUGGGUAAAGAAGCACCGGCUAACUACGUG